UGAGGUAGUAGGUUAUAUUGUUUUUCGGCAGUGAUUUUGCCGCGUUUUUGGAGAUAACUCUAUAACCUACUGCCUUCC
Molecule: microRNA precursor, 78 nt
Filed under: Petromyzon marinus (sea lamprey)
Lineage: Eukaryota; Metazoa; Chordata; Hyperoartia; Petromyzontiformes; Petromyzontidae
Description: Pma-Let-7-P2o20_pre stem-loop
Rfam family: let-7 microRNA precursor family
About the family: This family represents the microRNAs (miRNA) let-7 and mir-98. let-7 was identified from a study of developmental timing in C. elegans, and was later shown to be part of a much larger class of non-coding RNAs termed miRNAs. The extents of the hairpin precursors are not generally known and are estimated based on hairpin prediction.
Source: RNAcentral